This is an RNA transcript of Spinacia oleracea (spinach), 716 nucleotides long. RefSeq lists it as uncharacterized. The transcript is spliced from 5 exons. The record is from RefSeq and is a predicted model, not a curated record. NCBI's taxonomy places the organism in Eukaryota, Viridiplantae, Streptophyta, Magnoliopsida, Caryophyllales, Amaranthaceae.
UACGAAAGGAAUGGAACCUGAGAAGUAAUUCCAUGGCGAGCUCUUCACCCCCGUGCAAGGUAUCAAAGAUAGAAAGAUAAAUGAGGCAUCUGUUGUAGCAUUAAAUGCCGAGAAUUUGCAGAAAUCUCCAAUUCAUUAUCACAGCUUCCUUCUCGAAUACAAGUUAUGGAGAUUUUGUGCGAAUUGAAGACAGUUAUGAUUCAAAGAAUGGUGACAUUAAGUUCAAGGCUUUUCUAGCUAUAAUUAGUUUGGCGGCGGCGUUCCUAACUUUUUUCCGAUUACUUCUAUUAGUCUAGUGGCGGUGUUCGUGAUUUGUUUCCUGAAAUCCCUGCUUCCCUGACACUCUUCCAGUUCGGGUUGAGGUGUAAAGUUGGGGAUGGGAUAUGGUUUACUACAGAGUUGAUUAUUAUGGCCUUAUAUACCAGAGUCGUAUGUUGCCACAAAGUUGGGCGAGGAACUAUCACAACUGUUCUUUCUCCUGUUAGGCCGGCCGUGUUUAAUUUUCCUAAACUUAGCCAUGUAAAUUUUUAUUGCUUAGCCAUGAAUUCUAUAUAUGUAACCUACAUCAAGUAAUUAGUCGUGUUUCUUAUCAUCUACGGAGUACUGUAUUCAUACUUUCAACUAUUUCUAUGGAGUAAUUAGGCUUGUGAUUUGUAUAGUGUUCCGGGAGAUAGUGUUUUAUAUCUUGGGGGAACGUGCGCGCUAGCGCACGUUCC